Molecule: non-coding RNA, 647 nt
Organism: Pantherophis guttatus
Lineage: Eukaryota; Metazoa; Chordata; Lepidosauria; Squamata; Colubridae
Source: RefSeq, a predicted model, not a curated record
GACAUUAGAUUGGUAAAUGUUUACUUGUAGAAAGAAGGAUUUCCUGCAUUCCAUAUACUGGCUGAUAAACUGUUUCUUAGGUAUAUUUAUAAAUGGGAUCACAUUCUUUCUUCCUCUCAGGAGUGUUCCUAUUUGGGAUGUCAAUCAGUCUCUUAGCACCAUUCAGGAGGAGCCCAAGAAGGCAUUGUAGCUUCCAUCACAUUUUCUGGGUUUUCAUUCCAGUUAACAGAAUGUAAACACUCCUCAAUGGACAAGAGUCAGCUGUCUGAAAUCUUGCAAUUUAUCAAAACUUUUUCUGUGGAUUUUGUUCAUAUGAUAUACAUUUUGGAAAUGGUCAACAUUUCAUGGAAUGAAGGAUUUUUGUUUCAAUGACAAUAUGGCGGGGAGAUCUCUGUUGAAUGAGAAGCUAGCUUCAUGUGACCCUGGGGUGCUGCAACUUUCACAAAUGCAUGCUGGUUGCCAAGCGCCUGAAUUCCGAUUACAUGAUCUUGGGGAUGCUGCAAUGGAUGGUUGUAAGUGUGAAGGCUGGUGUUCUACAACUUAACCAGUGUGUCUUGAGGUGAAUUUUCACAUGUUACGGGAACAUUCCUUUCCCCCUUUCCUCUACUAAAAUGUUCGUGGUGAUGAAACACAAUAAAGAUCAGAGU